UACGUAGGGCGCAAGCGUUUGUCCGGAAUUAUUGGGCGUAAAGAGCUCGUAGGCGGCUUGUCACGUCGGUUGUGAAAGCCCGGGGCUUAACCCCGGGUCUGCAGUCGAUACGGGCAGGCUAGAGUGUGGUAGGGGAGAUCGGAAUUCCUGGUGUAGCGGUGAAAUGCGCAGAUAUCAGGAGGAACACCGGUGGCGAAGGCGGAUCUCUGGGCCAUUACUGACGCUGAGGAGCGAAAGCGUGGGGAGCGAACAGG
Molecule: ribosomal RNA, 254 nt
Filed under: uncultured bacterium
Lineage: Bacteria
Description: partial 16S ribosomal RNA
Rfam family: Bacterial small subunit ribosomal RNA
Source: RNAcentral